AUUGAACGCUGGCGGCAGGCUUAACACAUGCAAGUCGAGCGGGGUGAUGGUGCUUGCACUAUCACUUAGCGGCGGACGGGUGAGUAAUGCUUAGGAAUCUGCCUAUUAGCGGGGGACAACAUCUCGAAAGGGAUGCUAAUACCGCAUACGUCCUACGGGAGAAAGCAGGGGAUCACUUGUGACCUUGCGCUAAUAGAUGAGCCUAAGUCGGAUUAGCUAGUUGGUGGGGUAAAGGCCUACCAAGGCGACGAUCUGUAGCGGGUCUGAGAGGAUGAUCCGCAACACUGGGACUGAGACACGGCCCAGACUCCUACGGGAGGCAGCAGUGGGGAAUAUUGGACAAUGGGGGGAACCCUGAUCCAGCCAUGCCGCGUGUGUGAAGAAGGCCUUAUGGUUGUAAAGCACUUUAAGCGAGGAGGAGGCUCUUUUGGUUAAUACCCAAGAUGAGUGGACGUUACUCGCAGAAUAAGCACCGGCUAACUCUGUGCCAGCCGCCGCGGUAA
RNAcentral lists this ribosomal RNA (503 nucleotides) under uncultured bacterium. Its description in RNAcentral is "partial 16S ribosomal RNA". It matches the Rfam family "Bacterial small subunit ribosomal RNA", at positions 30 to 523 of the family's 1533-position model. The record is from RNAcentral.